This 72-nucleotide transfer RNA is filed under the name Urocitellus parryii (Arctic ground squirrel). RNAcentral describes it as "Spermophilus parryii (Arctic ground squirrel) tRNA". It matches the Rfam family "tRNA". From Rfam's summary of the family: Transfer RNA (tRNA) molecules are approximately 80 nucleotides in length. Their secondary structure includes four short double-helical elements and three loops (D, anti-codon, and T loops). Further hydrogen bonds mediate the characteristic L-shaped molecular structure. tRNAs have two regions of fundamental functional importance: the anti-codon, which is responsible for specific mRNA codon recognition, and the 3' end, to which the tRNAs corresponding amino acid is attached (by aminoacyl-tRNA synthetases). tRNAs cope with the degeneracy of the genetic code in two manners: having more than one tRNA (with a specific anti-codon) for a particular amino acid; and 'wobble' base-pairing, i.e. permitting non-standard base-pairing at the 3rd anti-codon position. RNAcentral also lists the same sequence under 2 other names. The record is from Rfam by way of RNAcentral. Lineage: Eukaryota; Metazoa; Chordata; Mammalia; Rodentia; Sciuridae.
GGGGUUGUGGCUCAGUGAUGGAGCGCUUGCUUCAUACAUAUGAGGCACUGGGCUCCUUUCCCAGCACCACCA